UCUCUCUCUCUCUCUCUUCUUCCCUACCUCAAAAAAAUUAAAUAAAAUCAAAACGCCAUUUCUUCAAUUUUUGUUCCUUUCUUGGAACCCUUUAACCUUAAUUUCGCCGUCAUCAUCCCAAAUGUCACCCUGAAAUUAUCAUAAAAUUUUGAUCACAACACAAAUUACAAACAGGUUGAUACAGUUGAAUUCCUGAUUUGAGUGGACAGCAACAGGAAUUUUUUAAGGGAAGUUCGUCAAUCUGAGAAAAUAAUGGAUAACUGUACAUCGAUUUAGUCUGGCUUAUUGGUGUAGUUUGGGCCAAUUAGAGGAGAUUCUGGAUGCAUAUGCUAAGCAUUUGUGGGUAGCUGGGAGAGGGAGCAAGUUGCAGAAUCUUCCGGAUUUAGUUUGUGCAUACUUGAGGUUUAGAAAGAGUUGAUUCCCAAGAUUUUGUGAAGAUCUUGUCGGGGGGUUUUUGUGUUUGUAUAGGUUUUAAGGAUCUUGGGUUGCUUCUGGAAUCAUGAGGGGUGAAACUCCUGUUACUUCGGGCCAGCUGUUCAAUGUUCAGCCAAUUAAUGUUGUUCCAAGUGAUGAAAACUGUAGACAUAAUAGUGGACUUAAUGUUUCUUUGCAGACGGGUGAGGAAUUUUCUGAAGAAUUCCUUAGGGAACGUCUUACACCUAGAAGACCAGUAAUAAUUGAUGCAUUUCAGCAACAGCAGAAUAGAAUGGGCAUAAAUAUUGCUCAGAGUCGCCCUCUUGUGUAUGAGGAUCUUACUGGCCUUCUUGGCCUACAGAGAAAAGACUCUGAAAGUGGUACAGAGCUAUCUGAGUUUUCUCCUCAGGGAGGAGGAUAUGCAUUAGAUGCUGAGAACCGGGAAAGCUUUGGUGGUGCAAACAGAUAUCGUAUGGAGUAUACUACCACCGAUGGACAGCAACAAGGAAGAUUAUCUGAUGGAAGUAAUAUCGAUAGAACUCUUUCUGGUCUAUCUAUAUAUCCUUCAGAUUCCCCAUAUGCAUACCAGCCUCACAACUCUGGCUUGGGAUACACAGAUGGUUCUUUUCCUGGAAAGAUGAAGUUUCUCUGCAGCUUUGGAGGAAGAAUUUUGCCAAGGCCAAAAGAUGGGAAGCUUAGAUAUGUCGGCGGGGAGACGAGAAUUAUGUCAAUUAGGAAAAAUUUAACUUACAGCGAACUUGUCAGGAAGACAGCUGCAAUCUGUAAUCAGCCUCACACAAUAAAAUAUCAGCUCCCAGGAGAGGACCUUGAUGCACUUAUAUCUGUCUCUUCUGAUGAAGAUCUCCAUCAUAUGAUAGAGGAAUAUCAUGAUUUGGAAAGAACUUCUCAGAGGUUGCGGAUAUUCCUUAUUUCUUCGAAUGAUCCUGAAAGCCCAUGUUCUUUUGAAGCAAGGACUGGACCACAGGGUGAUGCUGACUACCAAUAUGUUGUUGCAGUUAAUGGCAUGCUGGACCCAAGUCCUUGGAGGAGCUCUAGCAGGGAGAGUCUAGGAAGCCAGAUGGGGAAUGCCUUGGAUAGUAGUCCUGUUCAAAGAGACUCUCCGAUUUCCUUUCAUCCAUUGGAGGUACCAGAUGGGGGCAGUUCCUUGAAUAGAAUGAGUAAUCCAAGCUCCAAAGUUCAGGUUUUUAAUACCCCACAGUACCCUUCUAAGUCAAUUCUUUCUUCUUCUGUGUCUCCGGUGCCUGUUCAAAUCAAUGAUCCUAGGAGUUGCUACACAAAGUUGUAUGAGGAUAUGACACGGUCUAAUGCUUAUGAAUUUAACAGUCCAAAUGCUGCCGAGCAACCAUCAUAUGACAAGUAUCAAUAUUUCAACAACACAAGCUACUAUCAUCAUCAACCACCAGAAGCAGUCCAAUUGAGAAAUUACUUUCACCCUGUCAGCCACUGUAUGGACUCCAACCAGAUUCCUGAACUGGAUCCCCAUAUUCAUAGCACUGGUAAGAGUGUUGUGGCUUCACCAUCUUGUGGUCAACUUCAAAUGGACAAAGAAAGGCAUAUGGUAAAUGAGAUUGCAAUGCAGUCUGAAAAUUUAUCUUUCCCUCAAGACACAGCUGGUGUGUUUCCUGGUAUUGGUACUUCAUUUAAAACUCACAACAGAAUGGUUCAUGCAGUAUCUCAACCACAGUUGCGACAAAAAGAGGAAGUUAAAGUCACAGUUGAAGAAAGGAACCCAUUCCCAUCAAAUUAUGUAGUAGAAAAAUCACCUUCAUAUGGUGAUUCGUCACAAAAAUGGCUGGUUCAACAACUGGAGAGCUCAGAGAAAUACCAAAAUGCUAGGGAUGAGAAUCUGUCAACACCAGAUUUGAACAAGGAAUUCAUGUGGACAGAGAAUGAAGGCACAAAUUUUAACCAAGAUAGGACACAUAAUAUGUUUACUGAUAGAAAUACAUCUAAUUCCACUCCGGUAGAAGAUAACAUUAAUCUUCAUGAAAUUGUAAGACCUGUUGAUCAAAUGCUCAUUGACUGUCCGUUGCCAGUAGAGCCGGAAGGCAACACAAGCAGAAACUCCACAUCGCAUUCAUUGACAUCCGAGAACUCCCAACCACGAGGUCAUCAAUCAGGACCUAAUGAAUCUGAGUAUCUCAUCAGAAGCCAAAAAGAGAGUGAGACUAGGGCUAAAGCAUUUAGCAGGGAUGCCAUUAACAACUCUUGUGGACUAAAAUCAUCUACACAUCAGGGAAUGGACAGACCAGUGGAUGAAUCCUGCCUGCUCUUGGACUUGAAUUAUCCUCUUAGUAAUGAUCUUUCAUUUCCUAAUCCAGCUGAUAGUGCUAAACAAGUUGGGUUGGAUACCGUCCACAAGGAAUCUGUGCAUGAUCCUGAAUUCGAAAUGGUGAAAGGUCCUCAUAAGAGCGUGAAAAAGGAGAGUCUGAAGGAAGAUUCUUCUGAGACAUCCUGUUUUCCAGAUCAGAUGUCUGUCUCUCAUCCUUCAACUGAUCAGCAUGAUGGUAUUCGACCAGAAUCAACUGUUGUUGUAGAGGAUGUAACUGAUAGCAUUCCGCCAGAUAUUCCGUCCUCCCUGGUGGUUAUCCCACUAGUGCAAGAUGAGCCAAGUGAUGGGACAGAGACUGAAUCUGUUGCCAUAGAGUCUGACCACGAGGAAGGGAAUGUUGAUCAUGAUGGUAAUGUUGACCCCCUUGGUGAUGCUGCUUUGAUUGAAAUUGAAGCUGGAAUCUAUGGCUUACAGAUAAUAAAAUAUGCUGAUCUUGAAGAACUGCAAGAGUUAGGAUCUGGUACAUUUGGAACUGUUUACCAUGGAAAGUGGAGGGGAACAGAUGUUGCUAUCAAGAGAAUUAAAAAGAGCUGUUUUGCUGGGAGAAAUUCAGAGCAAGAGCGAUUGACUAAAGAGUUUUGGAGAGAGGCUCAGAUCCUCUCUAAGCUACACCAUCCCAAUAUUGUGGCAUUCUAUGGGGUCGUUCCUGAUGGACCUGGGGGAACAUUGGCAACGGUAACUGAAUAUAUGGUUGAUGGGUCGUUAAAACAUGCACUCUUAAGGAAGGGAGCACUUGAUCGGCGUAAAAAGCUUAUGAUUGCACUUGAUACUGCUUUUGGCAUGGAGUAUCUGCAUUUGAAGAAUAUAGUUCAUUUUGAUUUAAAAUGUGACAACUUGCUAGUUAACUUGGGAGAUCCUCAAAGGCCAGUGUGCAAGGUUGGUGAUUUUGGACUGUCAAGAAUUAAGCGAAAUACACUUGUUUCGGGUGGUGUGCGAGGAACACUUCCCUGGAUGGCUCCAGAGCUAUUGCAUGGAAGUAGUAAUCGAGUUUCUGAAAAAGUCGAUGUAUUCUCAUUUGGCAUCACAAUGUGGGAGAUCCAAACAGGAGAGGAGCCCUAUGCCAACUUGCACUGUGGCGCCAUCAUAGAGCACAAGCAGAAGAAGAAACAACGAAGAAAAGGCACCUCAGCUGUGAAAUUCUGCAUUUCAUUGGGACACCAUUAUAUGCAUAUUUGAAGACAGUUAAGACGUUCCUUAGUAGCUUCUGUACAAGAAACAAAUGAGGGCAACUAGGUUCUCCAACUAAACUCUUCAAAAAAACUGGAAAGUUAAACUUACUUUUCACUCUUGGCUACUGGUUAUAUGUUUCUGAUGCAUUGUCAGAAAGCGGAUAGAACUUGAAAGAGAAACUAAAAUGCAACUCAGAUGGUUCAUGUGCAGCUACCUGAAUGGAAUCAAUUUGAAGGUUGAUAUUGAAGUUCGUAACAUGUGGGAUUGUAAAUAACACUCUCAGGCCUAGCAUCCCUGAUCGUUGUGAUCCUGAGUGGAGAAAGUUGAUGGAAGAAUGUUGGUCACCAGAUCCAGCUGCAAGGCCAUCAUUCACACAAAUAACAAACAGGCUGCGUAUCAUGUCAAAGGCACUGCAGCCAACAAGACAGAUUCGAGCUAGAAGAUAAAACUUAAAUCUUAUGUAAGUCAAAAAGACAGAUUUUGUAAGAAGAACAAAAUAUACAUACAAAGACAGAGAGAGAGAGAGAGAGAGAGUAGAGAACCCCAUUCUAGCCUGCUGUAGUCAUUUGUACAGUACGGAAAUUUAGUUAAUGGAGAAACCGACUAAAAUUAAAAUUCAUGUUCUCAACUGUGCAUUCAUGUGUUUACUUUCUAACAUUUGUGUUGCUAAUUCAGUGUGAGAAUAAUAUAUGUUGACACCU
This is an RNA transcript of Coffea arabica (coffee), 4638 nucleotides long. RefSeq lists it as uncharacterized. NCBI's taxonomy places the organism in Eukaryota, Viridiplantae, Streptophyta, Magnoliopsida, Gentianales, Rubiaceae. The record is from RefSeq and is a predicted model, not a curated record.